AUUGAACGCUGGCGGCAGGCCUAACACAUGCAAGUCGAGCGGAUGAAGGGAGCUUGCUCCUGGAUUCAGCGGCGGACGGGUGAGUAAUGCCUAGGAAUCUGCCUGGUAGUGGGGGAUAACAUCCGGAAACGGGCGCUAAUACCGCAUACGUCCUGAGGGAGAAAGUGGGGGAUCUUCGGACCUCACGCUAUCAGAUGAGCCUAGGUCGGAUUAGCUAGUUGGUGGGGUAAAGGCCUACCAAGGCGACGAUCCGUAACUGGUCUGAGAGGAUGAUCAGUCACACUGGAACUGAGACACGGUCCAGACGCCUACGGGAGGCAGCAGUGGGGAAUAUUGGACAAUGGGCGAAAGCCUGAUCCAGCCAUGCCGCGUGUGUGAAGAAGGUCUUCGGAUUGUAAAGCACUUUAAGUUGGGAGGAAGGGCAGUAAGUUAAUACCUUGCUGUUUUGACGUUACCAACAGAAUAAGCACCGGCUAACUUCGUG
This 484-nucleotide ribosomal RNA is filed under the name uncultured bacterium. RNAcentral describes it as "partial 16S ribosomal RNA". It matches the Rfam family "Bacterial small subunit ribosomal RNA", at positions 30 to 507 of the family's 1533-position model. The record is from RNAcentral.